This is an RNA transcript of Solanum lycopersicum (tomato), 1298 nucleotides long. It is a transcript of the gene named endonuclease 2, with no coding region annotated. The record is from RefSeq and is a predicted model, not a curated record. Lineage: Eukaryota; Viridiplantae; Streptophyta; Magnoliopsida; Solanales; Solanaceae.
AAAUUUGAAAGUAUUAAUAAAAAUAGGCAAAUGUGAACCAAGAUUCAUCAAAUCAUUAAUAUUUAUUAUUGCCCCAUAAAUGUUUUCUUGAUUUUUUCCCCAUGUAUUCAUACAGUUCACACUAGUCCCCUUUUUGUCCUAGUUUAUUAUAAAGACCAAAAAAAAUUACUUGUCAAUUUGGUGGAUUUUAGUUUGAGAGUAGCAAAAAUGGAGUUAUACAAAUUUCAUGUAUUUUUGGCUAUGGUAGCUGUCUUGAUUCUUUCUCCAGUAGUUCAUGGAUGGGGACUUGAUGGUCAUUACACUGUUUGCAAGAUUGCUCAGUCAAGAUUGAGUAAAACUGCUGCAGAUGCAGUUGAAAAUUUGUUACCAAAAUCUGCAAAUGGUGAUUUGGCAAGUGUGUGUAUAUGGGCAGAUCGUGUUAAGUUCCAUUAUCAUUGGUCAUCACCUCUUCAUUACAUUGAUACCCCUGAUAAUCUUUGCAAUUAUCAAUAUAAAAGGGACUGUAAAGAUGAAGAUGGAGUUGAAGAUAGAUGUGUAGCUGGAGCAAUUUACAAUUACACUAAUCAGCUUCUAAGUUAUAACAAAGGCAAAGAUCAUGUUUCAACAUAUAAUUUGACAGAAGCACUUCUCUUCCUUUCUCACUUUUUUGGGGACAUUCAUCAGCCUUUGCAUGUUGGAUUUACUUCAGACAGAGGAGGCAAUACUAUAGAUGUUCAUUGGUACACUAGAAAAACAGUUCUCCAUCAUGUCUGGGAUUCCAACAUAAUCGAAACUAUAGAAGAACGAUACGAUGAUUCUAACGUAGAUGAACUAGUCGAUGCAAUUCAGAAGAACAUCACGACAGGAUGGGCUGAUCAAGUAAAUUCAUGGGAAAGCUGCAGUGGCAACAAAACAACCUGCCCUGAUAUGUAUGUUCAUUCAACAAAAGCGGAUCCAGUAUUUGAAGUUUAUAAAUACAUAUGCAAGUGAAGGUAUCAAAGCUGCUUGUGACUGGGCAUAUAAAGGAGUUAGUGAAGACUCAACAUUAGAAGAUGAUUAUUUCCUAUCGCGAUAUCAAAUAGUUCUAUGGCGUUUAGCUCAAGGUGGAGUCCGCUUAGCUGCUACACUAAACCGUAUAUUCAAAUGAACAACGUAUUGUAAACAAAACUUUAUGAUCCAUUUUCUAGCAUUCCUUGUACAACAUUGUUAUUUGAACUAAAGCAUUGUUGUAUUUUAGUAAAUCUUUCAUCGUAUCUAACAUUUUGAAGAUAUUUUUAUCGACUAUAUAAGUCAAAUUACGCGAUGAUUUUUAGUAUCAA